UCAUCUCGAUGUGUGGGAUCG
Molecule: non-coding RNA, 21 nt
Filed under: Caenorhabditis elegans
Lineage: Eukaryota; Metazoa; Nematoda; Chromadorea; Rhabditida; Rhabditidae
Source: RNAcentral